Molecule: small nucleolar RNA, 107 nt
Organism: Brassica oleracea var. oleracea
Lineage: Eukaryota; Viridiplantae; Streptophyta; Magnoliopsida; Brassicales; Brassicaceae
Rfam family: Plant small nucleolar RNA R71
About the family: R71 is a member of the C/D box family of snoRNAs containing the C (UGAUGA) and D (CUGA) box motifs. Multiple nearly identical copies of this snoRNA have been identified in Arabidopsis, and it is thought to function as a 2'-O-ribose methylation guide for 18S ribosomal RNA.
Source: Rfam
AAACCAUGUUGAGGGCAUUGAGACCAAUAGCCUUUGAACCUCUCCCAUGCUUCACUGAAGCUCUCUAGACAUUUCUGUUGAAAUCCAGAGAUUUUGUUCUUGAUCUU